RNAcentral lists this transfer RNA (64 nucleotides) under Lygodactylus aff. capensis. Its description in RNAcentral is "tRNA-Trp". Lineage: Eukaryota; Metazoa; Chordata; Lepidosauria; Squamata; Gekkonidae. The record is from RNAcentral.
AAGUUUAGGUUCACCAAACCAAGAACCUUCAAAGUUCUAAACAGGGCCAACGCCCUAACUUCUG